GGGUUCAAUUCUGGCUCAGGACGAACGCUGGCGGCGUGCUUCAUACAUGCAAGUCGAACGAUAAGGCACCUUCGGGUGUACAUAAGUGGCGGACGGGUGAGUAAAAUGUAGAGAAUCUGCCCUAGAGCGGGGGACAACAGCUGGAAACGGUUGCUAAUACCCCAUAUGAGCGUAGUUGAGAUACUAUUCUUGAAAACUCUGGUGCUCUGGGAUGAGUCUGCAUCUGAUUAGCUAGUUGGGGGUGUAAUGGACCACCAAGGCGACGAUCAGUAGCUGGUUUGAGAGGAUGAUCAGCCACAAUGGGACUGAGACACGGCCCAUACUCCUACGGGAGGCAGCAGUAGGGAAUUUUGCGCAAUGGGGGAAACCCUGACGCCAGCAACGCCGCGUGAUUGAAGAAGCCCUUCGGGGUGUAAAGAUCUGUCAGUGGGGACGAAACUUGACGGUACCCACAGAGGAAGCAUCGGCUAACUCCGUGCCAGCCGCUGC
RNAcentral lists this ribosomal RNA (489 nucleotides) under uncultured bacterium. Its description in RNAcentral is "bacterial SSU rRNA". It matches the Rfam family "Bacterial small subunit ribosomal RNA", at positions 9 to 518 of the family's 1533-position model. The record is from RNAcentral.